Molecule: ribosomal RNA, 498 nt
Filed under: uncultured bacterium
Lineage: Bacteria
Description: partial 16S ribosomal RNA
Rfam family: Bacterial small subunit ribosomal RNA
Source: RNAcentral
GAUGAACGCUGGCGGCGUGCCUAAUACAUGCAAGUCGAGCGAACAGAUGAGGAGCUUGCUCCUCUGACGUUAGCGGCGGACGGGUGAGUAACACGUGGAUAACCUACCUAUAAGACUGGGAUAACUUCGGGAAACCGGAGCUAAUACCGGAUAAUAUAUUGAACCGCAUGGUUCAAUAGUGAAAGACGGUUUUGCUGUCACUUAUAGAUGGAUCCGCGCCGCAUUAGCUAGUUGGUAAGGUAACGGCUUACCAAGGCAACGAUGCGUAGCCGACCUGAGAGGGUGAUCGGCCACACUGGAACUGAGACACGGUCCAGACUCCUACGGGAGGCAGCAGUAGGGAAUCUUCCGCAAUGGGCGAAAGCUUGACGGAGCAACGCCGCGUGAGUGAUGAAGGUCUUCGGAUCGGAAAACUCUGUUAUUAGGGAAGAACAAAUGUGUAAGUAACUAUGCACGUCUUGACGGUACCUAAUCAGAAAGCCACGGCUAACUACGUGC